CACAGAACCUUGCUUCUCUUCUGCUACAACCAAUGGCACUGUCUCACAAUGGUAUAAGUUCUGUUUAAUGUAAUGCCAAAAAGAAACUAUUGAUCCCAAAUACUAGACUUCUGCUGGAUUUGGCUUGGAGACCCACAAUGAUGCACAAGCUUCUUGCAAAAGAAAGCAAUCAAAAAUGCCCAUAUCUCCUCUACAGUAAGCUCAUGCUAACUACACUCCAAUGGAAAUGGGCUACAUGGACUGAUGGGAAGAAUAAGUGAAGGGAUCUGUGACCAGAAUAAGGUGACUGUAGCUCAGUGUAAGGACAAAAUUUGCUCCUUUUAGAUAAAUUAAAUGUUGAACAUCA
RNAcentral lists this long non-coding RNA (346 nucleotides) under Phasianus colchicus (ring-necked pheasant). RNAcentral describes it as "lncRNA (ENSPCLG00000003502.1)". Lineage: Eukaryota; Metazoa; Chordata; Aves; Galliformes; Phasianidae. The record is from RNAcentral.